This 468-nucleotide ribosomal RNA is filed under the name uncultured bacterium. Its description in RNAcentral is "partial 16S ribosomal RNA". It matches the Rfam family "Bacterial small subunit ribosomal RNA", at positions 28 to 507 of the family's 1533-position model. The record is from RNAcentral.
GACGAACGCUGGCGGCGUGCUUAACACAUGCAAGUCGAACGGAAAGGCCCUGCUUUUGUGGGGUGCUCGAGUGGCGAACGGGUGAGUAACACGUGAGUAACCUGCCCUUGACUUUGGGAUAACUUCAGGAAACUGGGGCUAAUACCGGAUAGGAGCUCCUGCUGCAUGGUGGGGGUUGGAAAGUUUCGGCGGUUGGGGAUGGACUCGCGGCGUAUCAGCUUGUUGGUGGGGUAGUGGCUUACCAAGGCUUGGACGGGUAGCCGGCCUGAGAGGGUGACCGGCCACAUUGGGACUGAGAUGCGGCCCAGACUCCUACGGGAGGCAGCAGUGGGGAAUAUUGCACAAUGGGCGGAAGCCUGAUGCAGCAACGCCGCGUGCGGGAUGACGGCCUUCGGGUUGUAAACCGCUUUCGCCUGUGACGAAGCGUGAGUGACGGUAAUGGGUAAAGAAGCACCGGCUAACUACGUG